Molecule: ribosomal RNA, 235 nt
Filed under: uncultured bacterium
Lineage: Bacteria
Description: partial 16S ribosomal RNA
Rfam family: Bacterial small subunit ribosomal RNA
Source: RNAcentral
CGGACGGGUGAGUAACGCGUGGGUAACCUGCCUCAUACAGGGGGAUAACAGUUAGAAAUGACUGCUAAUACCGCAUAAGACCACAGCACCGCAUGGUGCAGGGGUAAAAACUCCGGUGGUAUGAGAUGGACCCGCGUCUGAUUAGGUAGUUGGUGGGGUAGCGGCCCACCAAGGCAACGAUCAGUAGCCGACCUGAGAGGGUGACCGGCCACAUUGGGACUGAGACACGGCCCAG